AUUAUUGACUUACAUGGGACCUAAACCACUUUGCAAAUCCUUGUUCAACAAUUCUAUCAACCUCAUUAGGAUGUGCACCUUGCUGCACUAGCUCAUUCCUGUACAGGCUAUACGGAAAACUCCAUUCAUAAGAAAAAUUUGCAAGAUCUAAUAAAUAAAACACAAAAUAAAUCUGAAACAAGUUAAAAAUACUUACUCCAAAUAAUCCUCUACUUCUUCAGCAUUAUGUAGCACAUACCAAACUAACUUAUUCAUGACAGCAGCAUCAAUGUACUGGGUCCUAUUAGCUCCAACAAGAGUAGCACC
Molecule: long non-coding RNA, 306 nt
Filed under: Sorghum bicolor (sorghum)
Lineage: Eukaryota; Viridiplantae; Streptophyta; Magnoliopsida; Poales; Poaceae
Description: long non-coding RNA (SBIC_LNC008295)
Source: RNAcentral